Molecule: RNA transcript, 1107 nt
Organism: Mastomys coucha (southern multimammate mouse)
Lineage: Eukaryota; Metazoa; Chordata; Mammalia; Rodentia; Muridae
Gene name: ubiquitin-like-conjugating enzyme ATG3 pseudogene
Exons: 1
Source: RefSeq, a predicted model, not a curated record
UGCCCCAGUCCCAGGAUGCAGAAUGUGAUCAACAAGGUGAAGGGAAAGGCUCUCGAAGUGGCGAGUACCUGACCCCUGUCCUCAAGGAAUCAAAGUUUAAGGAAACGGGUGUAAUCACCCCAGAAGAGUUUGUGGCAGCUGGAGAUCACUUAGUCCACCACUGUCCCACAUGGCAAUGGGCUACAGGCAAAGAAUUGAAAGUGAAAGCAUAUCUACCAACAGAGAAACAGUUUUUGGUAACCAAAAAUGUUCCAUGCUACAAACGGUGUAAACAGAUGGAAUAUUCCGAUGAAUUGGAGGCUAUCAUUGAAGAAGAUGAUGGGGAUGGGGGAUGGGUAGAUACAUACCACAACACAGGUAUUACAGGAAUUACUGAAGCAGUUAAGGAGAUUACACUGGAAAGCAAGGACAGUAUAAAACUCCAAGAUUGCUCAGCACUGUGUGAUGAAGAAGAGGAGGAAGAUGAAGGGGAAGCUGCAGACAUGGAAGAAUAUGAAGAGAGUGGACUGUUGGAAACAGAUGAGGCUACCUUAGACACAAGGAAAAUAGUGGAAGCUUGUAAAGCUAAAGCUGAUGCUGGAGGUGAAGAUGCUAUUUUACAAACGAAGACUUACGACCUGUACAUCACUUAUGACAAAUAUUACCAGACACCACGGCUAUGGUUGUUUGGCUACGAUGAGCAACGACAGCCUUUAACAGUUGAGCACAUGUAUGAAGACAUCAGUAAAGAUCAUGUGAAGAAAACAGUGACCAUUGAAAACCAUCCUCAUCUCCCACCACCUCCUAUGUGUUCAGUUCACCCAUGCAGGCAUGCUGAAGUGAUGAAGAAAAUUAUUGAGACAGUUGCAGAAGGCGGGGGAGAGCUUGGUGUUCAUAUGUAUCUUUUAAUUUUUUUGAAAUUUGUUCAAGCUGUCAUUCCAACAAUAGAAUAUGACUACACAAGACACUUCACAAUGUAGUGGAGAGAAUGUAGAGUCUAUCCUAAUUACUGCUUCUGAUUUUUAAAGAAUUAAUACAUAGAUGUGACCAUUGACCAUAUUUACCAAUAAUUUCUCUAAUAAUGGGACUUAUAUGUUUAUGCAUUAAAUAAAAACUGUUCUACUACCA